This 253-nucleotide ribosomal RNA is filed under the name uncultured bacterium. RNAcentral describes it as "partial 16S ribosomal RNA". It matches the Rfam family "Bacterial small subunit ribosomal RNA", at positions 524 to 776 of the family's 1533-position model. The record is from RNAcentral.
GACGAACCGUGCGAACGUUGUUCGGAAUCACUGGGCUUGAAGGGCGCGUAGGCGGCCUGCCAAGUCCGGGGUGAAAGCCUCCAGCUUAACUGGAGAAGUGCCCUGGAUACUGGCGGGCUCGAGGGAGGCAGGGGUCGUGGGAACUUCCGGUGGAGCGGUGAAAUGCGUUGAUAUCGGAAGGAACGCCGGUGGCGAAAGCGCACGACUGGUCCUCUUCUGACGCUGAGGCGCGAAAGCCAGGGGAGCAAACGGG